RNAcentral lists this ribosomal RNA (274 nucleotides) under uncultured bacterium. RNAcentral's name for it is "partial 16S ribosomal RNA". It matches the Rfam family "Archaeal small subunit ribosomal RNA", at positions 473 to 747 of the family's 1478-position model. The record is from RNAcentral.
AAACCAGCACCUCAAGUGGUCAGGAGGAUUAUUGGGCCUAAAGCAUCCGUAGCCUGUUCUGUAAGUUUUCGGUUAAAUCCAUUAGCUCAACUAAUGGGCCGCCGAAAAUACUGUAGAACUAGGGAGUGGGAGAGGUAGACGGUAUUCGGUAGGAAGGGGUAAAAUCCUUUGAUCUAUUGAGGACCACCUGUGGCGAAGGCGGUCUACCAGAACACGUUCGACGGUGAGGGAUGAAAGCUGGGGGAGCAAACCGGAUUAGAUACCCCUGUAGUCC